GACGAACGCUGGCGGCGUGCUUAACACAUGCAAGUCGAACGGAAAGUGCUCUUCGGAGUGACUCGAGUGGCGAACGGGUGAGUAACACGUGGGUGAUCUGCCCUGCACUUUGGGAUAAGCCUGGGAAACUGGGUCUAAUACCGAAUAGGACCACGCGCUUCAUGGUGUGUGGUGGAAAGCUUUUGCGGUGUGGGAUGGGCCCGCGGCCUAUCAGCUUGGUGGUGGGGUAAUGGCCUACCAAGGCGACGACGGGUAGCCGGCCUGAGAGGGUGACCGGCCACACUGGGACUGAGAUACGGCCCAGACUCCUACGGGAGGCAGCAGUGGGGAAUAUUGCACAAUGGGCGCAAGCCUGAUGCAGCGACGCCGCGUGAGGGAUGACGGCCUUCGGGUUGUAAACCUCUUUCAGUAGGGACGAAGCGCAAGUGACGGUACCUAUAGAAGAAGGACCGGCCAACUACGUGCCAGCCGCCGCCGUAA
This 480-nucleotide ribosomal RNA is filed under the name uncultured bacterium. RNAcentral describes it as "partial 16S ribosomal RNA". It matches the Rfam family "Bacterial small subunit ribosomal RNA", at positions 28 to 523 of the family's 1533-position model. The record is from RNAcentral.